This 253-nucleotide ribosomal RNA is filed under the name uncultured bacterium. RNAcentral's name for it is "partial 16S ribosomal RNA". It matches the Rfam family "Bacterial small subunit ribosomal RNA", at positions 524 to 776 of the family's 1533-position model. The record is from RNAcentral.
AACGUAGGAGGCAAGCGUUAUCCGGAGUUACUGGGCGUAAAGGGCGUGCAGGUGGUUCAAUAAGUUGGUUAUGAAAGCUCCUGGCUAAACUGGGAGAGGUUGACCAAGACUGCUGAACUUGAGUGGAUGAGAGGUAAACGGAAUUCCGCGUGUAGUGGUGAAAUGCGUAGAGAUGCGGAGGAACACCGAUGGCGAAGGCAGCCCCCUGGGCUGACACUGACGCUCAGGCACGAAAGCGUGGGGAGCAAACAGG